This 500-nucleotide ribosomal RNA is filed under the name uncultured bacterium. RNAcentral describes it as "bacterial SSU rRNA". It matches the Rfam family "Bacterial small subunit ribosomal RNA", at positions 30 to 504 of the family's 1533-position model. The record is from RNAcentral.
CGAACGCUGGCGGCGUGCUUUAUACAUGCAAGUCGAGCGAGAACGUGACCUUCGGGUCGCUAGUAAAGCGGCAGACGGGUGAGUAACACGUGGGUAAUCUACCCUCAGGUUUGGGAUAACGGCUCGAAAGGGCCGCUAAUACCAAAAAGAUUUGCUAGGUUUUCGGACCAAGCGAAGGAAGGAGGCCUCUCAAAGAAGCUUUCGCCCGAGGAUGAGCCCGCGGUCCAUUAGCUUGUUGGUGAGGUAACGGCUCACCAAGGCUACGAUGGAUAGCUGGUCUGAGAGGAUGAUCAGCCACACUGGGACUGAGACACGGCCCAGACUCCUACGGGAGGCAGCAGUAGGGAAUAUUGCGCAAUGGACGAAAGUCUGACGCAGCAACGCCGCGUGGGUGAUGAAGGUUUUCGGAUCGUAAAGCCCUGUCAGGGGGAAAGAACAUGCUCGGGGAACAAUACCCCCGGGAUCUGACGGUACCCCCAAAGGAAGCACCGGCUAACUCC